UGAUAGUCAGGUAUCCAUUCAUAUAAACCU
This 30-nucleotide non-coding RNA is filed under the name Mus musculus (house mouse). The record is from RNAcentral. Lineage: Eukaryota; Metazoa; Chordata; Mammalia; Rodentia; Muridae.